AGUGAACGCUGGCGGUAGGCCUAACACAUGCAAGUCGAACGGCAGCACAGUAAGAGCUUGCUCUUACGGGUGGCGAGUGGCGGACGGGUGAGGAAUACAUCGGAAUCUACUUUUUCGUGGGGGAUAACGUAGGGAAACUUACGCUAAUACCGCAUACGACCUACGGGUGAAAGCAGGGGAUCUUCGGACCUUGCGCGAUUGAAUGAGCCGAUGUCGGAUUAGCUAGUUGGCGGGGUAAAGGCCCACCAAGGCGACGAUCCGUAGCUGGUCUGAGAGGAUGAUCAGCCACACUGGAAAUGAGACACGGUCCAGACUACUACGGGAGGCAGCAGUGGGGAAUAUUGGACAAUGGGCGCAAGCCUGAUCCAGCCAUACCGCGUGGGUGAAGAAGGCCUUCGGGUUGUAAAGCCCUUUUGUUGGGAAAGAAAAGCAGCAGGUUAAUACCCCGCUGUUCUGACGGUACCCAAAGAAUAAGCACCGGCUAACUUCGUG
This 492-nucleotide ribosomal RNA is filed under the name uncultured bacterium. RNAcentral describes it as "partial 16S ribosomal RNA". It matches the Rfam family "Bacterial small subunit ribosomal RNA", at positions 29 to 507 of the family's 1533-position model. The record is from RNAcentral.